RNAcentral lists this ribosomal RNA (408 nucleotides) under uncultured bacterium. RNAcentral's name for it is "bacterial SSU rRNA". It matches the Rfam family "Bacterial small subunit ribosomal RNA", at positions 396 to 796 of the family's 1533-position model. The record is from RNAcentral.
GCCGCGUGGGUGAAGAAGGUCUUCGGAUCGUAAAACCCUGUUGUUAGAGAAGAAAGUGCGUGAGAGUAACUGUUCACGUUUCGACGGUAUCUAACCAGAAAGCCACGGCUAACUACGUGCCAGCAGCCGCGGUAAUACGUAGGUGGCAAGCGUUAUCCGGAUUUAUUGGGCGUAAAGGGAACGCAGGCGGUCUUUUAAGUCUGAUGUGAAAGCCUUCGGCUUAACCGGAGUAGUGCAUUGGAAACUGGGAGACUUGAGUGCAGAAGAGGAGAGUGGAACUCCAUGUGUAGCGGUGAAAUGCGUAGAUAUAUGGAAGAACACCAGUGGCGAAAGCGGCUCUCUGGUCUGUAACUGACGCUGAGGUUCGAAAGCGUGGGUAGCAAAAGGGAUUAGAUACCCUGGUAGUCC